UUUUGAGUUAAUUUUUAUGUCCUGAGUCAUAUGUCCGGGCCACAAUGCAGACUGAGUAGGAGAGGAUUUAGAACCAGAACAUAGAGUGCACACAGGUCGCCAUAGACACAGAUGCGCAUCACACUUGGAGAAGUGACUUACCCUAUAACCUUGACUAUUCUCACCUGUAAAACAUGGAGUAUGAUUGUGUGUUAAUACUUUCAAUCUCAAAGGACUGUGACGACUGAGAGAAAGAGAAAUCAAUCCAAGAGCAACAAAAAUAAAUUUCAGACUAGAUUCAAAAUGCUGCUUGCUCUGCCUGUGACAGCUUUCCCCAGCUUCCACCUCUCCAGUCAAAAGUUUUAAAGAAGGAAGACUACCUCCAAAGAACAAGGAAUGCAGUACCAGUGCCCGUUUUUAUGAGUGAAUCUCAAGUGGAAGGUGACAGACAGCAGAACAAACACUAUAAAGCAUAGUGGCUAAGAAGACAAGCUUUGGAAUCCAGCAGGGCAGCAUUCAAAUUCGGCUUCUCUCAUUUAUUCCCUGGGACGACUCCUCCGCAGUGGACACUUGCAGCAGCAAAAAUGCUUCAGAAACAUGGGGAAGUUAUUCAGGAGCAAUCUUCAACCAGUGAAAAGUUGUGCCGUCACAGUCUUCAUUGCUUUGGUGGAUCUGUGUCCACUUGUGACAAGAGCAGUUGUUUAAGAAAGAUGAGCAUUGAGUGUCAGUAUCAGAAGACAAGAGGAGAGCUCUACAGUCUGGAUUGCCGAUGGUCUAAAGUCAAGUUGGUUUCGUGGAUUCCAUAUGAGCUGCAGGUGACUGUAACACAGAUUGAUGAAAGAUUCUGCAGGACGACAAAGGUUAAAGAUGCGGACCCGGAGCUGGAAGCCAGUGCUGACACUGAUGGAGUGCAGCGCAAUGAGAAUGCCCACAUUACUGUCCGCUCCUCUGAUAACCAAUGUAAUAUGAAAACUGACUACAGAAGAAAGGAACAAAUUAAAUCCAUUAAUCAAGCAUAUCUCUGCUAAACAGUUGUUCUAAAGAGAUGAACAAAUGAAAAAUUUACUGUUUGUU
RNAcentral lists this long non-coding RNA (1053 nucleotides) under Equus caballus (horse). RNAcentral describes it as "lncRNA (ENSECAG00000029652.3)". Lineage: Eukaryota; Metazoa; Chordata; Mammalia; Perissodactyla; Equidae. The record is from RNAcentral.